GAUGAACGCUGGCGGCGUGCCUAAUACAUGCAAGUCGAGCGAACAGACGAGGAGCUUGCUCCUUUGACGUUAGCGGCGGACGGGUGAGUAACACGUAGGUAACCUACCUAUAAGACUGGGAUAACUUCGGGAAACCGGAGCUAAUACCGGAUAAUAUAUCGAACCGCAUGGUUCGAUAGUGAAAGAUGGCUUUGCUAUCACUUAUAGAUGGACCUGCGCCGCAUUAGCUAGUUGGUAAGGUAACGGCUUACCAAGGCAACGAUACGUAGCCGACCUGAGAGGGUGAUCGGCCACACUGGAACUGAGACACGGUCCAGACUCCUACGGGAGGCAGCAGUAGGGAAUCUUCCGCAAUGGGCGAAAGCCUGACGGAGCAACGCCGCGUGAGUGAUGAAGGUCUUCGGAUCGUAAAACUCUGUUAUUAGGGAAGAACAAAUGUGUAAGUAACUGUGCACGUCUUGACGGUACCUAAUCAGAAAGCCACGGCUAACUACGUG
Molecule: ribosomal RNA, 497 nt
Filed under: uncultured bacterium
Lineage: Bacteria
Description: partial 16S ribosomal RNA
Rfam family: Bacterial small subunit ribosomal RNA
Source: RNAcentral